UAAGUCUCAAUUGAAAGUAUCGUCAAACUACCAAACUGCCAUAAAAGUCAAUAUGCAAACUUUAGAAAAGUUUUACCUAAAUCUUAAAUUUUUACUUUUCGGAAGAAAUUUCAUCUGAGAAAAUUAAAUAUUCCCCUCCAUAGGCCGCCAAGAAGAGAAACACUGGUGGCUUCGAUCUGAAUAACAAGGACCGCUAGAUGGCAACAUAUUCUCCUAUAAAGCGGCCAAAAGGAUUCCAAGUGUCCUCAUUGAACCAAAAAUGUGUUUCAUCACAGAUUCAUUACUAAUUGAAAAUAAAUGUUGCAUACAUCAUCCAAUA
Drosophila eugracilis is the source of this 319-nucleotide long non-coding RNA. RefSeq lists it as uncharacterized. The transcript has 2 exons. The record is from RefSeq and is a predicted model, not a curated record. Lineage: Eukaryota; Metazoa; Arthropoda; Insecta; Diptera; Drosophilidae.